This is a non-coding RNA of Brachypodium distachyon (stiff brome), 136 nucleotides long. The record is from Rfam. Lineage: Eukaryota; Viridiplantae; Streptophyta; Magnoliopsida; Poales; Poaceae.
GUUCUACUCACUCCGUCCAACAAAGGAUGUCUCAACUUUAACUAAAUUUGAAUGCAUCUAUACACUAAGUCAUGUCUAGAUACAUCCAAAUUUUGACAAACUUGAGACAUCUUUUGUUGAACGGAGUGAGUAUAUC